UUGGGUACUUCCUUUCCUAACUCUAUUCCUAAAGAGGAUCUCUGUCUUAAUCAGGAGAGGGGUUGGGAUUGUGAAGUUGUCUGAUAGUUGGUUUUGCCAUCCGUCCUCAUAGCAGCCAAGCAAAAUCUGUGACUCAACUAUAGCUUUUGCCAAAGUCUUAGCUAAGGCACGUCCAUAGCAUCUGUGGGUUCCAUGCUCCACGGUCACCUGGCUCCAGCCACAGGAUUGUCAGGAACCCAGGGGAAUCUUCUCACCUGAGUGGCCAGAGCUGCUCCAUGUGUCAGUGCUCAUCCCAGUGGGCAGGGCUAGAAAGAAGCAGGGAGGGUGUCAGUUCUUGUUGUUUCCGGAUCAUCAGGCUCCGUUCUAAAUGCCAAGGGCAGGUCAUGGUCACCGCAAGCCACAGACUGAGGAGAGACUCUGCCAAGGCUGGACGCAUUGGAAACCAGAACAGGGGUGUGAAAUGCCUGUCUCCUUUGGAUGGCUCUACGAUGCUGCACCUGUCUCUCAUCCGGGACCAGGAAGGAGGAAGUUAAACUUCAUGUGGAAGUGCCAUAGAAAUCCCAGAAGGCUGAGCCCCCACCCCCUACUGGUAAGGGGGAGGGGCCCUUUAUUCCUUUACAUGCUUGGGGACCCUUCUUGGGCUUCUUCUGUGUCUCUUCUCACAGGCGACUCUCCGGCCCCCUGCGUGUCACAUGUGACUGUAUGCUCACUCUCUGUCUCUAAAUCUAUCCUGCCCUCACGUGUGCACUGCACUUUGCCUCUGCUCUGAAUUUUUUGGGGGCAAGACCCUGAGGUAAGGAUUAAGAUACCUGGGCCCAGAGCAGUGCCAGGAAGUUGGACACUUAAGAGCCCCACUGGUGGGUGGCCGAGGUCCAGGAUGGCGACCUGGGAAGCUGCUCCUCUCUGCCUUCCUGGGAGCUUCCUUAAGGACACAGUUUCCAGCAAAGGCUCUGGGCGGAGCGAGCAGGGCCCUGCCCUUGCCUCCCUGGGGUCUCUGCCAGCUGCCUGCGCACCCCUGGAGCACACGGCACUGCUGCACCUGUGGUUGGGAUCCGGGGCACUCCAGGCGGCCCGGAGGCUGGGGCUCUGGUACUGAGUGUGUGCUGUGUGGCCAGCAGCCGUGGGAGCUUCUCCAACCGGCUUCCCCCUACCACGGCUGUAUGCUGUGGAAUUCAUCUUAGUGGAGAUGGGUGGAAGAGAGGUUUUUUUUUUUUUAAGGCUUAUUUAUUUAUUUUGAAAGUCAGUUGCAGAGAUGGGGGAGAGAGAGAGAGAGAGAGAGAGAGAGAGACCUUCCGUCUGCUGGUUCACUCCCUAGAUGGCCGUAAUGGCCAGGGCUGGGCCAGGCCAAAGCCGGGAGCCAGGAGCUUGUUCUGGAUCUCCCGCAUGGUUGGUAGGGGCCCAAGCACUUCCAUUGCUUUCCCAGGCCAUUGGCAGGGAGCUGGAUGGGAAGUAGGGCAGUCAGGCGUCACUGAUGGCAGCUUUAUUCGCUCUGCCACAGCGCCGGCCGCGGGAGAGAGGCUCUUGUUGGCUGUGAGAGGAGGGUUUCAGAUGUGAGGCAGACAGUGGCGGU
This is a long non-coding RNA of Oryctolagus cuniculus (rabbit), 1570 nucleotides long. NCBI's taxonomy places the organism in Eukaryota, Metazoa, Chordata, Mammalia, Lagomorpha, Leporidae. The record is from Ensembl.